Molecule: long non-coding RNA, 1722 nt
Filed under: Equus caballus (horse)
Lineage: Eukaryota; Metazoa; Chordata; Mammalia; Perissodactyla; Equidae
Description: lncRNA (ENSECAG00000044189.1)
Source: RNAcentral
CCUUCAGAAGCACAAAUGUAAGCAGCAUGAGGUAUUUUGAAGUGUGAGACAUUUAAGUUUCAGGAACACAGUAUCCCUGUGCAGAGAGAAAAGAGUAAUUACUCAGAUGCCAACUCACAACUGGGAAAACGAGGUGGCCAAAGGAAACUUCACAAUGGAAAUCUUGUGUUUCUGGUGCACAUGUUCAGUCAGAGACACGAAAUUUUAAAGAAUCUUUGUCUAUAGGAAUGAUGCCAGCUCCUCUCUCCUGCACAUCCUCUCUGUGGAUUAAUCAUCAGGCCCCCGGUAACCGCAGUGUGACCACUAUGUGAGGCGCCUUCUUCCCUGAAACAAUGAAGGUCUGUCCGAUUGUCUUUGGGAGGCAUUUACAGCUCGAGGACAUUGCUCUGUUUUAUUGAAAGUACUCAGCACUGGCUUCUUGGGACAUGGCUGGAAGGGGUAUUGAGCUGGAUUGGGCAAUAACAGAUGUUCCAGUGGGACACUGAGACAUUCUUGCUGUGUGGGACACCCAGCAGGAACACGUUGUAAAAAAUGAGGAAGGCAAGAGUACGUUUCACAAAGCCCUGUACAAGUGCUCUGACCCAUGGCUCUGAUAAAGUUGUGUGUCCUGAUCUCAAGUCCUUAGAGGGGUCUACCCCACAUGAAGAUUACUUGAAGGAGAGGAACACAAUUGCUGGAGCCUCAGCUCUUUGUCUCAAUAACUGAUGGGAUGAGAUAGUUUCUAUUCAUCUGGCUGGAUAGAGCUCUGGAAUGCGGUAGCUCUGCCUGAGGGGCCGCUGUGGAGUGUACAGAGCAACACUGUCAUUCCCAGAAGAACGUGGCAGCCGCCUUACACAGUAGGCUGGACCGCCUCCACCCCCAUGUCUACAGGCAGCAACCAAGAGUCCUUAAAAUAAUAAACAGCUGGCUGUGGGCUCCCUACACAAACCCCAGAAUUCCAAUACAAUUCUACUUGACUGAACAGGUUUUAGACCACAGCACAGGAAACUCAGAGUCCAGAAAACUCCCACCUUCACCCGCUGUGGCUGGGCAUCCGUUGGAAUGAUUGUCCCGAAGCUUUGUGUCUGGGAGAGCACCUCCUACGAAGCAGCCAAGUGCAGGGGGAUUCAAAGGGUUUAAUCAGGAAUCAGAACCUCUCUGAGUAGCAUGGAAUCAAGAAUUUAUGAUAGGAAUAAGUCUUUAUGUAAUUACGGAAGAACCUGGGGAAGGAAGGAUCUGGCAGGAGGAAAAAAAGAGCAGAAAAAAGCCACUAACCAGAAGCCACUAACCACUAACUUGCCAGAAGCACCAGCUUGGGUAGAGAAGUUGCAGCUUGCAAGGAAAUCUGGAAAGCCAGAACAUCAAGCUGCCAGAGUGCAGCUGUGAAGGGGAGCUGACGGAAAAGUGUAUGGAAACUUAAAUCCUCUGCUUAACCACCUUUUCUAUAAUUCUACCACCAAGCUUCUGGUGAUGGGCCUGGAGAGGCUACUGGUCAGCAGGGCCAGCAGUCAGGAAAACUGGAUGGAUGGGGGUGGGCAGAAGGUGAGAUCAAGCUGGAACCCUCUAGCGCCUCUGCAUCUGUCUUCCCUUCCAUGUAAGCACAGUGACCUUCAGAGAGUAACGGCUCAGAUCUGCCUUGCAAAUAUCAAGCGAAUUCCUUUUGUACCCUACUCUAACCUGGAAACAGAGAGAAGGUGAUGCUGCGGAACCGUUCUCCAGUAACCAAGUAAACACAGCCACAAC